RNA transcript from Juglans regia (Persian walnut), 1402 nucleotides. It is a transcript of the gene named protein FAR1-RELATED SEQUENCE 12-like, with no coding region annotated. Lineage: Eukaryota; Viridiplantae; Streptophyta; Magnoliopsida; Fagales; Juglandaceae. The transcript is spliced from 6 exons. The record is from RefSeq and is a predicted model, not a curated record.
AAAGUGGUAAAGUUGGGCGGAGUGACUUGCAUGUUUGGAGGGUGCAUUCUGUUAAGCUGUCAACUUGCUACGUGUGCAACAGUAGAUAUGGAAGUGGACGAUGGAAAUGAGAGAAUAGAAACUUCUGCUGAAGGGGAAUCAAGUAUACGUAGAGUUGAAACAGAUCAAGAACCUUACGAGGGUAUGCCCUUUGAAUCAGAAGAAGCUGCUAGAGCAUUCUAUGAUGAGUAUGCAAAACGGGUAGGAUUUAUAACCCGUGUAUUGUCAUCCAGAAAGUCUGAGCGUGAUAGGUCAAUUAUCUCCCGUGGACUUGGAUGCAGUGGGCGUUCUGUUAAUCGAAAGCGAGGUGGGCAGCAGGAAGUUUGCACAGCAACGAUUUUGUUGAAGAGAGAGAAGCCUGGGAGAUGGGUGGUUAGGAAAUUUGUGAGGGACCAUAAUCAUCCGUUGGUGGGUCAAUUUCGAAAGACUCGUCGAACAUUUGAUGAGAAGGAUAAGAAAAUUCUGGAAUUAACGGCAGAACUGCGGGUUAAGAAGCGGUUAAGUGCAGCAUAUCGAGAACAGCUACUUGCUUUUAUGAAGGAUAUUGAAGGCCAUAAUGAACACCUAUCAACUAAAGUUCAAUUAGUUUUGGACAAUCUAAGUGAGUUUGAAGCUAAAAGGAAAGAGGUUUCAGACCAUAGAUAACUACCGAGUAUAGACCACAAGCAUUUACAUUAUAUUCCAACAAGGAUUCAUAAACGGGGCUUACAAUGGAGAUGACAAUACGUACUAUAUAGGUGAACAACACUGGUUCAAGCACAACAAAGCACAUAUUAUACUCAUGAAGGCAGUCUCAUUGGCUUUCUACGGCAUUCCUUGGAUUUUCUGGAGGGUUUCUGGUCUUUAACAGAGUAAAAGGUUUCCUAAUACAUAUACCAUGAUUCUUGGUAGCUCGCAGUGGGUGAUGAUGUGGCUGAGGAACAAGCUGGCUAGGCUUAGACCUGUGUUGCAGAUUAAUCACGAACUCAGACUUAGAUAAUAUCACAUAGUUGUCAGACACCCUCUGUUAAGACAUGAUUAUGCUAUAUGUUUUAUUUAUAAUUUCAAUAAAAUGUGGUAAUGUUUAUUUAUGUUGGAUCUCUUACUUCGUGCAAGUUUUUUGUUUUAGUAGCAUUCCUAACCCUAUGGGAAGGGGGGUGUUGGACAAGGUGCACCUAGUUGUCAAAGAGCCUGGGAGGAGCUGUAAACUGACACAUCUUGAGUUUGAUUUUGCUGAUCUAGAAGUUCCCUUGGAUUGCCUAAUACACGUUUAUGGCAGGGGUUUCUUUGCAAUAUGGAGAUGCAUGGAAAUAUGAAAUCAAUAUUUGGGGGUUUCUUUUGCAAUUUGCAAACCAAUUCAGCUGUAGAACUUCCAUCUCAUACU